Molecule: long non-coding RNA, 354 nt
Organism: Gasterosteus aculeatus aculeatus (three-spined stickleback)
Lineage: Eukaryota; Metazoa; Chordata; Actinopteri; Perciformes; Gasterosteidae
Source: Ensembl
UAAUAACGAUAAUAAAAUUAAAAAUAUACUGUAAAUAGUACCGUUACAUCAUGUUUGUAACAAGAGCAAAGGAAGGUUCUGGAGGACAAAGCCGAGCCAUUGGUGGAGCUGUGAUGGACGGAUAGUGCAUAAGUGGAUAGUAAUAGUGGUGGUUUAGGGGCGUCCAAAGGGGCUGACGACGAUCAUUCUGAGGAGGGGAGGACGUCGUUGGAGACUUUGAGGACGGACAUUUCUGUGCUACCAACACGAAACAUCCUGUAUUGUUGAAGAUGAGGUCUUCCAAAAUAAAACUGUCAGGCAGCUCCAGCUUGUUCAGAAAGCUGCUGCUAGAGUUCUAACAAAGACCAAAAAAUG